AAGGAUUUAAGUUAAAUAGCUAAACUAAUAGCCUUCAAAGCUGCAAAUAAAGGUACCUUUAGGCCUUG
RNAcentral lists this transfer RNA (68 nucleotides) under Rybaxis sp. 1 EF-2015. RNAcentral's name for it is "tRNA-Trp". It matches the Rfam family "tRNA". From Rfam's summary of the family: Transfer RNA (tRNA) molecules are approximately 80 nucleotides in length. Their secondary structure includes four short double-helical elements and three loops (D, anti-codon, and T loops). The record is from RNAcentral. Lineage: Eukaryota; Metazoa; Arthropoda; Insecta; Coleoptera; Staphylinidae.